AACGAACGCUGGCGGCAUGCCUAAUACAUGCAAGUCGAACGAGAUCUUCGGAUCUAGUGGCGCACGGGUGCGUAACGCGUGGGAAUCUGCCCUUGGGUUCGGAAUAACAGCGGGAAACUGCUGCUAAUACCGGAUGAUGACGUAAGUCCAAAGAUUUAUCGCCCAGGGAUGAGCCCGCGUAGGAUUAGGUAGUUGGUGGGGUAAAGGCCUACCAAGCCUACGAUCCUUAGCUGGUCUGAGAGGAUGAUCAGCCACACUGGGACUGAGACACGGCCCAGACUCCUACGGGAGGCAGCAGUAGGGAAUAUUGGACAAUGGGGGCAACCCUGAUCCAGCAAUGCCGCGUGAGUGAUGAAGGCCUUAGGGUUGUAAAGCUCUUUUUCAGGGGAAGAUGAUGACGGUACCCUGAGAAUAAGCCCCGGCUAACUACGUGCCAGCCGCCGCAGUAA
This 449-nucleotide ribosomal RNA is filed under the name uncultured bacterium. RNAcentral describes it as "partial 16S ribosomal RNA". It matches the Rfam family "Bacterial small subunit ribosomal RNA", at positions 29 to 523 of the family's 1533-position model. The record is from RNAcentral.